UGGGGAAUAUUGGACAAUGGGCGCAAGCCUGAUCCAGCCAUGCCGCGUGAGUGAUGAAGGCCUUAGGGUUGUAAAGCUCUUUCACCGAUGAAGAUAAUGACGGUAGUCGGAGAAGAAGCCCCGGCUAACUUCGUGCCAGCAGCCGCGGUAAUACGAAGGGGGCUAGCGUUGUUCGGAAUUACUGGGCGUAAAGCGCACGUAGGCGGAUAUUUAAGUCAGGGGUGAAAUCCCAGAGCUCAACUCUGGAACUGCCUUUGAUACUGGGUAUCUUGAGUAUGGAAGAGGUAAGUGGAAUUGCGAGUGUAGAGGUGAAAUUCGUAGAUAUUCGCAGGAACACCAGUGGCGAAGGCGGCUUUACUGGUCCAUUUUACUGACGCUGAGGUGCGAAAGCGUGGGGAGCAAAACA
RNAcentral lists this ribosomal RNA (406 nucleotides) under uncultured Rhizobium sp. RNAcentral describes it as "bacterial SSU rRNA". It matches the Rfam family "Bacterial small subunit ribosomal RNA", at positions 355 to 775 of the family's 1533-position model. Lineage: Bacteria; Pseudomonadati; Pseudomonadota; Alphaproteobacteria; Hyphomicrobiales; Rhizobiaceae. The record is from RNAcentral.